UCUGCAAGAGAAAUCAACUAAUUUAUUUCUGCAAUCCAUCACUGUUGGUUGCCCAAAAUGUAUAUAAUUUUAGCAAGUCUGACCUAGAAAUAAGAGCAAUACAAAUGGCACAGAAAUCAAUCUUAAUACACUGAAUAUUUACUUUACAUUUAUUCUCAUGUAGUAAGUUUACAUUUAUAGUUUUAAAAUAAAAGGUUUCAAGUUAGUUUAGCUUGGGUAAGAAUUACGUGUGUUUAGUAAACUGCAAAGACCUAAGCAAACAAUUAAUCCUUGAAAAAUAAUUGGUUCAAAUGCUAAAAAAGAACGUAACAUCUAACAAGACAAGUUUUAGGAGAAGGCUAUUCUUAAAAUAUGGCUAAGAGAACACUAACGAAAACUUGGUUCUAACAGACAAAAGGCUUGUGGUGAAUUUAUAGUAACCUCCAAUAUUAUCUUAAAAUAUGGGCAUGUGUAAAGAGAUAAAAGACCAGUUGCAGCUAGCUUUAACUUAGAUACAUUCAAAGAAAAAGGCCCACACUGCCCUAACCCUAUCUGGUCUUAGCCAAGAUCGAUGGAAAGCUAAGAAAAGAGCAGCCCCAGACUGCCCAAAAUUGGUUCUUAGCUGAAGUAAGCAAUUGGCAAUGGCAUCACUUGUUUGUUAUACUGUAUAAAAAAACCCAUGUUUGCUAAGGGUAGUUAUCAUUCCUAUCUGAUCAUGCUGAUGCCAGUCAGGAUGAGAGAGAUGUCCCUAGGAUGGGCCUUUUCAGAGUGUAUUAAUCAACUUAUGUUUGCUACUGUAUAGAUGUAUUGAUUGCUUAUUGUUAUUUAGAUUUUUUAGAGCAAUUGUAUAAUUUGGCCUUUGGAUUUAAUAAAGGAAUUUAUGGUUAAAUGAA
Molecule: long non-coding RNA, 872 nt
Organism: Dermochelys coriacea (leatherback sea turtle)
Lineage: Eukaryota; Metazoa; Chordata; Testudines; Dermochelyidae
Exons: 2
Source: RefSeq, a predicted model, not a curated record